GAUGAACGCUAGCUACAGGCUUAACACAUGCAAGUCGCAGGGUAACAUGAGGAAAGCUUGCUUUCCUUGAUGACGACUGGCGCACGGGUGAGUAACGCGUAUCCAACCUUCCCAUAACUACGGGAUAACCCGUUGAAAGACGGCCUAAUACCGUAUGAUAUCGUUUGCUGACAUCAAAUAACGAUUAAAGGUUUAGCGGUUAUGGAUGGGGAUGCGUCUGAUUAGCUUGUUGGCGGGGUAACGGCCCACCAAGGCGACGAUCAGUAGGGGUUCUGAGAGGAAGGUCCCCCACAUUGGAACUGAGACACGGUCCAAACUCCUACGGGAGGCAGCAGUGAGGUAUAUUGGUCAAUGGGCGAGAGCCUGAACCAGCCAAGUAGCGUGCAGGACGACGGCCCUAUGGGUUGUAAACUGCUUUUAUGUGGGGAUAAAGUGCGUGACGUGUCAUGCAUUGCAGGUACCACAUGAAUAAGGACCGGCUAAUUCCGUG
Molecule: ribosomal RNA, 490 nt
Filed under: uncultured bacterium
Lineage: Bacteria
Description: partial 16S ribosomal RNA
Rfam family: Bacterial small subunit ribosomal RNA
Source: RNAcentral